RNAcentral lists this ribosomal RNA (425 nucleotides) under uncultured bacterium. RNAcentral's name for it is "bacterial SSU rRNA". It matches the Rfam family "Bacterial small subunit ribosomal RNA", at positions 354 to 796 of the family's 1533-position model. The record is from RNAcentral.
GUGGGGAAUAUUGGACAAUGGGCGAAAGCCUGAUCCAGCAAUGCCGCGUGAGUGAUGAAGGCCUUAGGGUUGUAAAGCUCUUUUACCCGGGAUGAUAAUGACAGUACCGGGAGAAUAAGCUCCGGCUAACUCCGUGCCAGCAGCCGCGGUAAUACGGAGGGAGCUAGCGUUGUUCGGAAUUACUGGGCGUAAAGCGCACGUAGGCGGCUUUGUAAGUUAGAGGUGAAAGCCUGGAGCUUAACUCCAGAACUGCCUUUAAGACUGCAUCGCUUGAAUCCAGGAGAGGUGAGUGGAAUUCCGAGUGUAGAGGUGAAAUUCGUAGAUAUUCGGAAGAACACCAGUGGCGAAGGCGGCUCACUGGACUGGUAUUGACGCUGAGGUGCGAAAGCGUGGGGAGCAAACAGGAUUAGAAACCCUGGUAGUCC